GAUGAACGCUAGCGACAGGCCUAACACAUGCAAGUCGAGGGGCAGCACAAUGCGUAGCAAUACAAAUGGUGGCGACCGGCGCACGGGUGAGUAACACGUAUGCAACCUACCUAUAAGUGGGGAAUAACCCGGAGAAAUCCGGACUAAUACCGCAUAAUACUUGUUAAUCUGCAUGGAUUACAAGUUAAACAUUUAUGGCUUAUAGAUGGGCAUGCGUAUGAUUAGUUAGUUGGUGAGGUAACGGCUCACCAAGACAUCGAUCAUUAGGGGUUCUGAGAGGAAGGUCCCCCACACUGGUACUGAGACGCGGACCAGACUCCUACGGGAGGCAGCAGUGAGGAAUAUUGGUCAAUGGGCGAGAGCCUGAACCAGCCAAGUCGCGUGAAGGAAGACGGUUCUAUGGAUUGUAAACUUCUUUUGCAGGGGAAUAAAGGACGGUACGUGUACUGUUUUGUAUGUACCUUGCGAAUAAGGAUCGGCUAACUCCGUG
Molecule: ribosomal RNA, 490 nt
Filed under: uncultured bacterium
Lineage: Bacteria
Description: bacterial SSU rRNA
Rfam family: Bacterial small subunit ribosomal RNA
Source: RNAcentral